Molecule: ribosomal RNA, 225 nt
Filed under: uncultured Thorsellia sp.
Lineage: Bacteria; Pseudomonadati; Pseudomonadota; Gammaproteobacteria; Enterobacterales; Thorselliaceae
Description: partial 16S ribosomal RNA
Rfam family: Bacterial small subunit ribosomal RNA
Source: RNAcentral
CACGUAGGCGGUUUUUUAAGUCAGAUGUGAAAGCCCCGGGCUCAACCUGGGAAUUGCAUUUGAAACUGGGGAACUAGAGUGUGUGAGAGGGGGGUAGAAUUCCAGGUGUAGCGGUGAAAUGCGUAGAGAUCUGGAGGAAUACCGAUUGCGAAGGCAGCCCCCUGGACAGUGACUGACGCUCAUAUGCGAAAGCGUGGGGAUCAAACAGGAUUAGAUACCCUUGUA